Molecule: long non-coding RNA, 1081 nt
Organism: Lethenteron reissneri (Far Eastern brook lamprey)
Lineage: Eukaryota; Metazoa; Chordata; Hyperoartia; Petromyzontiformes; Petromyzontidae
Source: RefSeq, a predicted model, not a curated record
UCUCAUCCAUCUCUCUCGGCCACGCGCGGCCUUCCCUGCCACUCCAGAGGGCUAUCUGGCAGCUCGCCGUGACCUUCACCUGGACGCCGGACCGGUUGAACCUCGGGCCCUGCUCAUCGCAGAUUCGACAGCGACCGCGCGGGUUCCUCCGCGGUGUCCCUCGCGACGAAAAUCGAUGCCACGUGGCGGCGUCGUGACGUCACACGACAGCCGAUAUGAGCACUGCGUUGUGAUCACAACUCAACACAUUUGUCAAUAGCACUGUGGCCUUCAAAGGAAACAAAUAUUCGUUUCGGUUGAUGACCCAUCCAAUGAUAUGCUAUGAAGAAGGGCCAUUGUCUGAAACGUCGUCAUAUAUUUUUCCCUUUUUAAGGCCACAGUGUAAUUUACCAAUGUGUUGAUUUUUGUUUGUAUUGUUAAUUAGGCUUGUGCACCACUUGUUUACUAUUGCCAAGACGCAGCAGAACUAGACUCAAGCCCCGUUCGAGCUCUCGGGUUUGUGUGAAUGCCAGAGGCUCACGGCGUCAAACCAAGGUCCCUUUUAGGACUCCAAUGGUUGCGUGUCAAUGUCUGAGGCUCACGGCAAAAAGAGGGAGGGAGGGAGAGUUUAAAGAGCGACACAGCCGCAGUCAAUCGCUUUAUUCGUCACCACGCGACCUUAAACGCUGCCCAGGAACACGAGGACCAAGUCUCUGCUUCCCGGGUCCAGUGGUUCUCAUCAGUUCAACAGUUCUUUGGAGAAAUUGUGAAAUGUUUAGGACCACUGGAGCCGGAGGGGCAUCUCCGUCAAAGCCGAGUUCGACGUGGUGCCGCACUCAAAGCGGUGGAAAUUCCACAUUCUCACGACGGGGGCGAGUCAACCCACGAGACAAUCGGUGUUAUAUUUGCUGUGUGCCUAUACAAGCAUGCACAUCAAAUGUAAAUUGAAUGUAAUAAAAAUUGUUAUAAUAAGUUAUUAAACAAUACCUUAGUUAACUAUAGUUACUAUACAUCGAAUUGUAUGUUAAUAUAUUAAUAUAGUUAAUUGUAUGUUAAUAUAUACAUUACAUUGUUCUUGAAUUAUAUUGUGUUUGGCCUCAUA